Oreochromis niloticus (Nile tilapia) is the source of this 1166-nucleotide long non-coding RNA. RefSeq lists it as uncharacterized. Lineage: Eukaryota; Metazoa; Chordata; Actinopteri; Cichliformes; Cichlidae. The transcript is spliced from 2 exons. The record is from RefSeq and is a predicted model, not a curated record.
AAACAACGCACCACACUGAUCUCGUUUGGAGGAUCUGCUAGCUUCUGUGAACUUGUUCUGUGCAGAUUCAAGUUCACCACACCAGGAUAGAUUAUAUAGCAACAUACUAGAGUAGUUUGGCGUGAUUUACGGUUCACAAUAAUCUCUACACUGUAAAAACUGUGAUUUGGGUUAAUUAGUAUCUAAUAGGAAAGUAAUAGUAACUAUUACUCAGUAAAAACAUGUAUGUGUUGUUUUAAUUAAAUCUAAGCAAAAUUAAACAUUUUUGAGAUGUUCAGUUAUUUAAAUUUACACAAUUUUGUUUGGGGUAAAUUAAGCAAUAGUUUAUUGAUCAGAUUUAACAAAAAUGUAUGAGUACCAUGAAAAAUUAAGAAAUCUAAUAGAUUUAACUAAUGAAAGCAUUUUCAUUUCAAUGAUUCUACACUUCCGCUGUAGUCAGUUGUGCCACGUGCAGGACACACACACUUCAGCAGUGGAUGAUCUCCAUUUUGUCCGAGGUUGAACGAGAUAGAGCUCCAUGUAAUCACGGAUGACCAAAUCGAGAAGUUGGUUCUUCCAUCAGGGAUCCCACCAACAGUAGAGGAGCUGCAAAGUGUUGUGUAGGAUAUCUUUGGGAUUUCAAACGACUUCAGUCUUCAGUAUUUUAAACCACAAUUUCAGGACUACUUCACUAUUCGCAGAAGUGACCAGGAUCAGCUAAAGUUGUGCAUCACCCUGGUCAUCCUGCCAGUUUUCGGCAACCCCUCUGAUCAACUGUCAACUGACUAUCACUCAUCAUCCAAUCCAGUUGUAUCCAGUGCAGACUCUGCUGCAACCACAUCUUCUCAGGACAAAAUUAUUCUCAAAAGGCAGAAGUUCACAGAACGUUGUGAGCCCUGGCCGAAGCUGUUCCCCAUUCCACAGUCUUCAUAUGAAACCGAAAUGUAACUGGAAAGAGCCACUGAGAGUAUAAAAAGAAUGGAAAUCUUCUGCCCACCACCAAAGUAAAGACUGACAUUCUCGAGAAGUUGGCUGAAACUGUAUUUUCAAUUAUGGCCUAUUCUUCCUAUUAUCUUGGGGCAAGCACUAGUGAAGAAUUUCAGUGCAUACAAUCUAAAUCAAUCAGAAAAAUGUUAUAUUAUACAUUUUGUAUACGUUUUAUAUUCCACAAUAAAAGUUUGAAUGUU